Molecule: ribosomal RNA, 498 nt
Filed under: marine sediment bacterium ISA-1172
Lineage: Bacteria
Description: bacterial SSU rRNA
Rfam family: Bacterial small subunit ribosomal RNA
Source: RNAcentral
UGGCGGCAGGCCUAACACAUGCAAGUCGAGCGCGAACGGUCCUUCGGGACUUAUUAGAGCGGCGGACGGGUGAGUAAUGCAUAGGAAUCUGCCCAGUAGUGGGGGAUAGCCCGGGGAAACCCGGAUUAAUACCGCAUACGUCCUACGGGAGAAAGCAGGGGAUCUUCGGACCUUGCGCUAUUGGAUGAGCCUAUGUCGGAUUAGCUUGUUGGUAAGGUAACGGCUUACCAAGGCGACGAUCCGUAGCUGGUCUGAGAGGAUGAUCAGCCACACUGGGACUGAGACACGGCCCAGACUCCUACGGGAGGCAGCAGUGGGGAAUAUUGCACAAUGGGGGAAACCCUGAUGCAGCCAUGCCGCGUGUGUGAAGAAGGCCUUCGGGUUGUAAAGCACUUUCAGUAGGGAGGAAGGCCUGUAAGUUAAUACCUUGCAGGAUUGACGUUACCUACAGAAGAAGCACCGGCUAACUCCGUGCCAGCAGCCGCGGUAAUACGGAGG